Molecule: long non-coding RNA, 1104 nt
Filed under: Rhinopithecus bieti (black snub-nosed monkey)
Lineage: Eukaryota; Metazoa; Chordata; Mammalia; Primates; Cercopithecidae
Description: lncRNA (ENSRBIG00000045344.1)
Source: RNAcentral
GAAACUAGAAAGAAGGGAAUUAUGGGAAAGGAGGUUCCGGUUAUUCUUGCAGCCGGUUUGGUUUUUAUGUGUGGCUGUUAGAAGGCGGGAGUAUUAGCUGGUCAAUCAGAUGACAGUAAAGAGAGCGAUCGGAUGGUCUUGAAGUCAAAAGUCCAGAACCUGCAAAGCCAAAUUUAUGAGUCAAACUUAUAAACUUGCCAAACCUUUUGGAAACAUUAUGCUAUUUUGUGACUUAUAAAUUUGACACAUAUUUAAAAUAUAAAACUUCAAAUGAGAUUGUAAUAGUUGAACUACAAUCAAAACACACUAGAAAACUGAAUGCAAAUUCUUUAAAACAUUGCUAAUAAUGGAGUGACAUUUUGUUUUCAUUCUCCACCUUCCCAGCAGGUGGGAGAUGUGAUUGGUGUCCUGCUGUGAGGGACAAAGGAACAGUGCAAUGGUUUUCUCUUGCCUGUAUUCUAAAUCUCAUCACCUGGCUGACAAAAUUGAUAGCAAGGCACUCUGGACUCUCAUGUUAUCCUGCAAUUUCUAAAAGUCAUCAACUGGAUCAUUCUACUCAGAUCUGUUUUCUCCUGCCUAAGCUGAUACAAAAGUUGAUUACCUCUUCCUUCCUCUUCCAACUCAAAGAUCAUCAAAUCCAAAUUAUUCAGAUGUUAUUAUAAAAUGUAACUCUCCACAGACAUGGAAUCAACACAUCAGUGGCAGAUUGGAUAAAGAAAAUAUGGUGCAUAUACACCAUGGAAUACUGUGCAUCCAUAAGAAAGCAUGAGAUCAUGUCCUUUGCAGGAACAUGGAUGGAGAUGGAGACCAUUACCCUUAGCAAACUAACACAGGAACAGAAAAUCAAAUACUGCAUGUUCUCACUUAUAAGUGGGACCUAAAUUAUGAGAACACACGGAUACAAAGAGGGGAACAACAGACACUGGGGCCUACUUGAACGUGGAGGAUGGGAGGAGGGAGAGGCUCAGAAAAAAAUAGCCAUUGGGUACUAGGUUUAGUACCUAAGUGAUGAAAUAAUCUGUACAACAAACCCCUGUGACACAAGUUUACCUAUGUAACAAACCUGCAGAUGUAUCUCUGAACCUAAAAGUUAAAAUAAGAUAA